GAGACAGCAGCAGCCGCGGUAAAACGUAGGUGGCAAGCGUUGUCCGGAAUUAUUGGGCGUAAAGGGCUCGCAGGCGGUUUCUUAAGUCUGAUGUGAAAGCCCCCGGCUCAACCGGGGAGGGUCAUUGGAAACUGGGAAACUUGAGUGCAGAAGAGGAGAGUGGAAUUCCACGUGUAGCGGUGAAAUGCGUAGAGAUGUGGAGGAACACCAGUGGCGAAGGCGACUCUCUGGUCUGUAACUGACGCUGAGGAGCGAAAGCGCGGGGAGCGAACAGGAUUAGAUACCCCCGUAGUCCCUGUCUCUUAUAC
This 308-nucleotide ribosomal RNA is filed under the name uncultured bacterium. RNAcentral describes it as "partial 16S ribosomal RNA". It matches the Rfam family "Bacterial small subunit ribosomal RNA", at positions 505 to 807 of the family's 1533-position model. The record is from RNAcentral.